Molecule: ribosomal RNA, 489 nt
Filed under: uncultured bacterium
Lineage: Bacteria
Description: bacterial SSU rRNA
Rfam family: Bacterial small subunit ribosomal RNA
Source: RNAcentral
CGUGCCUAAUACAUGCAAGUUGAACGCAACAAAGACACCAGAGCUUGCUCUACCGUCUUUGUUGAGUAGCGAACGGGUGAGUAACGCGUGGGUAACCUGCCUUAUAGCGGGGGAUAACUAUUGGAAACGAUAGCUAAUACCGCAUAACAAUAGAGAUUGCAUAAUCUUAUUUGAAAGUGCCAACUGGUACACUAUGAGAUGGACCCGCGUUGUAUUAGCUAGUUGGUAGUGUAAUGGACUACCAAGGCGAUGAUACAUAGCCGACCUGAGAGGGUGAUCGGCCACAUUGGGACUGAGACACGACCCAAACUCCUACGGGAGGCAGCAGUAGGGAAUCUUCGGCAAUGGACGAAAGUCUGACCGAGCAACGCCGCGUGAGUGAAGAAGGUUUUCGGAUCGUAAAACUCUGUUGUUAGAGAAGAAUGUUGAUUAGAGUGGAAAAUUAAUCAAGUGACGGUAUCUAACCAGAAAGGGACGGCUAACUACGUG